RNAcentral lists this ribosomal RNA (329 nucleotides) under uncultured cyanobacterium. Its description in RNAcentral is "bacterial SSU rRNA". It matches the Rfam family "Bacterial small subunit ribosomal RNA", at positions 377 to 720 of the family's 1533-position model. Lineage: Bacteria; Bacillati; Cyanobacteriota. The record is from RNAcentral.
GAAAGCCUGACGGAGCAAUACCGCGUGAGGGAGGAAGGCUCUUGGGUCGUWAACCUCUUUUCUCAGGGAAGAACACAAUGACGGUACCUGAGGAAUAAGCAUCGGCUAACUCCGUGCCAGCAGCCGCGGUAAUACGGAGGAUGCAAGCGUUAUCCGGAAUGAUUGGGCGUAAAGCGUCCGCAGGUGGCUAUGUAAGUCUGCUGUUAAAGCGUCUAGCUCAACUAGAUAAAAGCAGUGGAAACURCAAGGCUAGAGUGCGUUMGGGGCAGAGGGAAUUCCUGGUGUAGCGGUGAAAUGCGUAGAGAUCAGGAAGAACACCGGUGGCGAAG